UUGAACGCUGGCGGCAGGCCUAACACAUGCACGUCGAGCGGAUGAAGGGAGCUUGCUCCUGGAUUCAGCGGCGGACGGGUGAGUAAUGCCUAGGAAUCUGCCUGGUAGUGGGGGAUAACGUCCGGAAACGGGCGCUAAUACCGCAUACGUCCUGAGGGAGAAAGUGGGGGAUCUUCGGACCUCACGCUAUCAGAUGAGCCUAGGUCGGAUUAGCUAGUUGGUGGGGUAAAGGCCUACCAAGGCGACGAUCCGUAACUGGUCUGAGAGGAUGAUCAGUCACACUGGAACUGAGACACGGUCCAGACUCCUACGGGAGGCAGCAGUGGGGAAUAUUGGACAAUGGGCGAAAGCCUGAUCCAGCCAUGCCGCGUGUGUGAAGAAGGUCUUCGGAUUGUAAAGCACUUUAAGUUGGGAGGAAGGGCAGUAAGUUAAUACCUUGCUGUUUUGACGUUACCAACAGAAUAAGCACCGGCUAACUUCGUG
This 483-nucleotide ribosomal RNA is filed under the name uncultured bacterium. Its description in RNAcentral is "partial 16S ribosomal RNA". It matches the Rfam family "Bacterial small subunit ribosomal RNA", at positions 30 to 507 of the family's 1533-position model. The record is from RNAcentral.